Molecule: ribosomal RNA, 301 nt
Filed under: uncultured bacterium
Lineage: Bacteria
Description: partial 16S ribosomal RNA
Rfam family: Bacterial small subunit ribosomal RNA
Source: RNAcentral
CAGCAGCCACGGGAACACGUAGGGUGCAAGCGUUAAUCGGAAUUACUGGGCGUAAAGCGUGCGCAGGCGGUUAUAUAAGACAGAUGUGAAAUCCCCGGGCUCAACCUGGGAACUGCAUUUGUGACUGUAUAGCUAGAGUACGGCAGAGGGGGUUGGAAUUCCGCGUGUAGCAGUGAAAUGCGUAGAUAUGCGGAGGAACACCGAUGGCGAAGGCAAUCCCCUGGGCCUGUACUGACGCUCAUGCACGAAAGCGUGGGGAGCAAACAGGAUUAGAUACCCCCGUAGUCCCUGUCUCUUAUAA